CUGUGGUAGCAGCAGCCCAGAAAGGACUCAGCUCUCUCCACUAUCUCUGAAGCAUUUUUGAACCCAUCUGCCAAAAAGAAAAAUGAAGGAUUGCCCUGUGAAAGUGAUUCUUGUAAGACAUUCUUCAAACUGGAAAUGAGUUGUUCUGGCUGUGUCUGGUAGUAAUUCCCAUCAGUGCCUUUUCACUCUUCACUGCAAAGCUCUCCCGGUCCUGCAAACUGCAAAGUCAAAUCAAGACACCAAUGAAAAGUUAAAGCCCAAGAAAGAGCACACCCAACAGAGCAGGGAGUGAUAAUAGAAAAUUAUGCAGACUUCUCCACUGUGGUUGACAACCAAGGAAGGUUUGGUCAGGUACUACCUUCAGAGGAGCAGUGUAAUUGGAAGGCAUCAUAUCUGACACCUCAUCUUGCCUGGAAUAUUGCUCUUUUCUGUGUGUGUAGAACAAGAAAAGCAGAGUAACUGUUCAGCAGAAAGCAAGAAACCAGCCUUGUGGUGUGUAUUUAACUCAAGAGCAAGAAAUUUGUGUGCUGCAGAUUUUGAGGGAGAAAUGGAAAGCAUGCAAAGUAUAAGCCAGUGUAUCUUUAAUUCCCUGAAUAAUAGCAGUGUGAUACACUUCAGGAUGUAGAGUAUGAAAUACAGUAAUUGUGUAUAGAAGCCAGUGAUCCAGCAAGUUUCAGUGAGGGAGAUGUUAAUGAGAGGGUUCAGAUGAUUCCUCAAACUGAAGAAUUGCCACUGAACAUUUAAUAAAGCUUCUUACACUCCAGACAGCUGUGGGAGCAGACAGGACAAUUUCACCUCAUCCACCACAUCCACAGUGAGAAGAAGCAAGCAGAAAGCAGUGAUAUGACAUGUCCCAGUGCCACUGGUGGGUGUGUUCUAUCUUUCCUCUGAUCUCUCUCUACUCAAAUGAAUUCUUCUUGUUAUGGGACUGCUCCCUAAAUUCCACUUUGGAGCGAAGGCAGCUUUAACCUUCCUGCUCUGUGCAAGCAAAACCUGCUGCACUGAGCCUUGCCCUCCUGCUCCAUACUCCUCUCUCCUCUUCUCAUGCACUCUUCUGAAGACUGGAAGAAGCAUUUUCACUUUGGGACAGCAGAGGAGGUGAGGGAAAGCCCAGUAUGCCCCAGACCCAACGUCAGCUGAGGCACAGAGUGGCAGCACUCGCUGUCCCGGCCCAGGAAGAGGGCACAGCCAGCACCACAGGGUCACCCAUCUGAGAAGACAACUGGUAUGGCAGGUCCUAAAACAGCAUUAUCAGCAAUCAAACAGCGGUGUUUGUGUCACAUCUGUGUGGAACUGGUGUUACUGUGACAUCAGGAAACAGCUCAUGCCCAUGGGCAUCACAGAGUUUCUAACUCAGAGCUGUGGAGCAGCUUUCUCCAUGCCAAAGUCCCCUUUGCUUUGCCAGCUUCACCCAGGGGAAGCUUCCACCAGGAAUCUUCUGCCUCCCAUGGAAACAGAGUGGAGUGGUUAUACCUGAGAAAACUGUGAGCAGGAAAGAGAAAUGGGCUUGGCUCUUUGUACCACGUAAUAAAGAGUCUGGUGAAGGAGGAGGAGGAGCAGGAUGAAGGCCCAGCCCACCAAUGCCCCAGGCAUUUGGCACCCUGUGGCCAGAGCUCCACAGUGGAGCCUCACUCUCUGCCCUGCAGUGUUUUCGUGUGGCCAGACCUUGCUGGUAGCCCUGGAUCAGAAUGACCCUCCUGUUUGAGGUGCCAGUCCCAGCUGGAUCCUCUCUGCUGCGAUGCAAAGGGUGCUUGGUGGGCUCUGGGGGAUGUCUGGGGGAUGCACAAUCCCCAGAGGACACAUUGAAGUGGUGGAACAAAGGCAGAGUUCCAAAGGAAGGUAGCUCUUGGUUUUCCUGUCCUGCAGGGGAGGUGCUGGGGUUAGAGGUGUUUUGGAGUAUGCCCCAGCUGCCCUGGGGAAGUGCUGGAUGAAACUGGUGGGUUUUGUCCAUCUCCCUUUAGCAGCAAACUGACUGGAGGGUGCAGUUAGCCAAGCCCAAGGUGGAUCAGAUCAGUCACUUCCUGGGAAACUCUACUUUUUUCUGGCUUUCCAGGGUGACUCAUUCAGACAGCUGCAAUGUGGAGGCUUAAAGCAAGUGAUGUAAAUUCUGCUUCAUGAGGAAAGCUAAAAAAAGUUGAAAAAAGAAAGAGAGCAGAACAAGACAAAAAAAGGAAGCAAGGAGGGUGUGACUUCACCCACAGCAAGGACCAUGAAUUACAAUCUCAGCAGGAAAAGGUGCUCUGUACAGAGCAGUAACUCACAACAUGCCAGUGCUCAUUUUAAAGGAAAGAUUACUGGCUUUAAAGUUCCUGAGGUAUUUUUAUCCAGUGCUAUGAAAAUGAACAAUGUCUUUAUCUACUCCAGCAGUCUGCUAAAAUUUUAAAAGACUAUAACCAGGACUAGCUCUUCUAGGUGAAUCAUGAAUAGAAGAUCUUCCAUUCCCAGGCUGACCCUUCUCUUUUUCUACUCCAAUUUUUUUUUUUGCCGCUGAG
Molecule: non-coding RNA, 2492 nt
Organism: Cyanistes caeruleus (blue tit)
Lineage: Eukaryota; Metazoa; Chordata; Aves; Passeriformes; Paridae
Source: RefSeq, a predicted model, not a curated record